RNAcentral lists this ribosomal RNA (466 nucleotides) under uncultured bacterium. RNAcentral's name for it is "partial 16S ribosomal RNA". It matches the Rfam family "Bacterial small subunit ribosomal RNA", at positions 29 to 506 of the family's 1533-position model. The record is from RNAcentral.
ACGAACGCUGGCGGCGUGCUUAACACAUGCCAGUCGAACGGAAAGGCCCUGCUUUUGUGGGGUGCUCGAGUGGCGAACGGGUGAGUAACACGUGAGUAACCUGCCCUUGACUUUGGGAUAACUUCAGGAAACUGGGGCUAAUACCGGAUAGGAGCUCCUGCUGCAUGGUGGGGGUUGGAAAGUUUCGGCGGUUGGGGAUGGACUCGCGGCUUAUCAGCUUGUUGGUGGGGUAGUGGCUUACCAAGGCUUUGACGGGUAGCCGGCCUGAGAGGGUGACCGGCCACAUUGGGACUGAGAUACGGCCCAGACUCCUACGGGAGGCAGCAGUGGGGAAUAUUGCACAAGGGGCGGAAGCCUGAUGCAGCAACGCCGCGUGCGGGAUGACGGCCUUCGGGUGGUAAACCGCUUUCGCCUGUGACGAAGCGUGAGGGACGGUAAUGGGUAAAGAAACACCGGCUAACUACGU